UAUUGGACAAUGGGCGCAAGCCUGAUCCAGCCAUGCCGCGUGAGUGAUGAAGGCCCUAGGGUUGUAAAGCUCUUUCACCGGAGAAGAUAACGACGGUAUCCGGAGAAGAAGCCCCGGCUAACUUCGUGCCAGCAGCCGCGGUAAUACGAAGGGGGCUAGCGUUGUUCGGAUUUACUGGGCGUAAAGCGCACGUAGGCGGAUCGAUCAGUCAGGGGUGAAAUCCCAGAGCUCAACUCUGGAACUGCCUUUGAUACUGUCGAUCUGGAGUAUGGAAGAGGUGAGUGGAAUUCCGAGUGUAGAGGUGAAAUUCGUAGAUAUUCGGAGGAACACCAGUGGCGAAGGCGGCUCACUCGUCCAUUACUGACGCUGAGGUGCGAAA
Molecule: ribosomal RNA, 379 nt
Filed under: uncultured bacterium
Lineage: Bacteria
Description: bacterial SSU rRNA
Rfam family: Bacterial small subunit ribosomal RNA
Source: RNAcentral